AUUCAGGAGUUCAGCAGUUCUGUGAUCACUGGGCAGAGGACAGAUCUGAAACAGUUUUUCUUGGUUACUGAUUUGUUCUCAGAUCACUGCCAGUCUCUCACAGUUUUGAGAAGAUCUUUACUUGUUCUGAUAGACUUUUCCCUGGAGCUAGAUGUAGAUGGAGUAGAUGGCCAAAAGUAAGACAUGGCAGUUGCAGAGUGAGAGGUGAUCUCCAGCAUAAAGGGCACCCUCCCCUGAAAGGCUCUGCAUGCCAACAAAGACCUGGAGAUGGAUUCUUUUUGAUGGUGAGAAGAAACAGGUCUUUUUGUUUUUAGAACAUGCUAAGAUCUGCAGAUUUUCCUCAGAAAAUUGAAACAGAAGACUGGACAGAAGAAUAGACUCUGCGGCGAGGUUCAGCUGGUGUAGGAACUCCAGGACCUUGCUCAGCAGGGGACAUGACCCAUCUCCACUCACACCUCUUUACCAUUUUGCCAGUCAACAGUAUGAUUCUGCAACCUCUGCAGCAUCUGACAUGAUGGAUCUCAAUUGCCUGAAGUCACAGUAUCCUUAGAGUAUGUUAGCCAUUAUCACGCUGUGCUGUGCAUUCAAGUUGCAUGAAGUGUUUACAAAACUGAGGAUCAAAAUGUUCAUCUCUAAAGAAGAAGGGUGGUCAUGAAUGAAGGCACUGCAUGAAGACAAAGGUGAUCCAACUUCCUUUCUGCCACAGGUUUCCUUUGUGACUUCAGUCGAGUCAUUGAGGCUCAGCACUUCCAAAGCAUUUAACAUUCCUUUUGAGACCGGCAGGAGGCUGCUUCACAGUUCAGCUUCAGGCUACAUAGGCUGCAUAUAAACUUCCUACUAUAAGCGUGUCACAACUCUAUCACUUCUAGCUUGACAUCUACACUCCACCAUGAGCUGCUGUGGCUGUCUGUUAUCCAGCACUGUCAGACCUUUGCUCCCUAAUCAGUCAAGACAGAAUUAGUUUCAGUCCCAACUCUGGCACCUUCAGCAGGAGGUCUGAAUGUGAUUUUUUUUACUCAUUUUCUUCCCUUUCGUCUUUCUCAUCUUCAGACACCAUAAUCGUGUUGUAUGCAGACACUUACAAUUGCAGAUGCAGCUCAAAGUGCUACUUCAGCAUACCUAAAAGCCAACUACAUUGGGCAGUCACACUUCACAAAUGUCUUUCAAAGGCUUUGCCAUUUUGACCAGUGUUACUGGAUUACGUGGAAUUGCCUUCAUUGCACAAGACUGGACUGUAAAAUUGAUAAAUUUUGCAAUAUGGAGUAAAGGCAGCAUCUGCAGAAGACAGGAGUUUAAAGUACAUUAACAGUCAGUGAUACUGUUGUUUUAUAAUCUCCUCAUGUAGCUUUUACUAUCCCUCCCCAUCUGUUCUGGCAGAACUUCUCUAUGCUCUGAACAAAUCCCUGAACAGGAUAUUUUUUUCUAGAGCCAUAAACUUACUAUAAUGCAAGCUCUGAUUACAAUAUUUUCACCUGUAUUUAGAUAAUUACUGUUCCAAAACAAAUGACAAGCUGACCGCUUAAAAAAUAAAAAUAAAAAUUAAAAAUAAAAAUAAAAAAAGACAAUCUCAUUUUCUUCUUUUCUACUAUUUAGGGUUGUAGGAACUGUCCUUUAUCUUGGGGCAUUUGGAAAAUAUUAGUCCAGCAAAAGUUACUAACAUUAUUUUAAUGAUGUUUCUAUCCUUGACUAUCUUACUUGCUAUAUCAGAUGCUGAUAGUACUAAAAUGCAACUUGUUGCAGUUCUUAUAAUUGCUAUUAUCUUUUUCUCCUAACAUGACAAAUGGGAAAAAAAAAAUUGUGUAAUAGACAAGUUCAUUUGUAGCUGGAACUUUUAUUGUCCAAAAUUACAAGAAGCUUCUCAGACUUAUGCCAGGCACAGGUCUGGAAGGCGUUAACAUUGUUGAACAUGCUACUAAGCUACUGAGAUAUCUCUACUGAUGGAGGGCUGAGAUGUCCUUAGUUCAUGUACAGAACUGGCCAGGAAUUUUCUGUGGAAGUACCUUUGUUACAUAAAAUUCAGUUCUGGCAAAAGGUACUUUGAUAUAUUUCAGUUACAGAUUAGGACAAUAAAAUUAAAACAAAAUGAAACUAAACUACUCAUUUGUUAAAUUGAACUGAAAUUACAAUGUUGGAUAAUAUUGAGAUUAAUCAAUAUAUGUCUAAUAUUACUGCAAGAUUUAAUAGUUGUUUUCUGAUAAGGACUUUUUACUACUUUCCUUUUCUUUAUAGAUCAGUAUUUCCUUGUAGAAUAGCACAGACAUCCCAAAUUACCAUGAAUUCAGCUUGGUGUUGUCUUAAAUUAGUCUGGACUUGUGCUGUCAAAAGAUCCAACCAGAUAACAUUACUUACUCCUUGUACCAUGAAAGAUGAGAAAUUUCCUCAUCUAGAUAGUUAUACAGUCUUCAUUACUAUAGUAUAAGAUCAUGUCACUAUCUUCCUUCUCAACAUCCAUGAAAGGCAUGAGUUUGCUAGGAUUUCUUCCUUUACAAAGAAGAAUUGCAGCCAUCUUGUACACUUGUUCUCUCUACAGGAGUACGAGCAGGAAUAGGCAGCACAGUGUGCAGCUCGGCCAGCUGCUGAGCUGGUUAUAAAGACACUAAGAAGUAGUGUCUCUCCAAAUCAGAUGCUAGAAAUAAGAGAAAAUUUCUUUUUUUCUUCAUAUAGGCCAAAUUAGCUUGUUGAGGAGAGGGGAGCUUCAAAUUCAAUCUCUGCUUGACUUGAAGCAGGGCUUGAAUUACUCUUCACCCUGGCAGAAUCUUGGCCUAUAUGUAUCAGUGAAAGACCACACACAACUGAUAGGAAGUCUUUGUCUUGUGGCCUCCUGGAUAUUUUCUUCCAUUAUAAUUACAUAGCCUCAGGAAGAGAAAAUAACAGUCUGGCGACUCAAGAAAUCUAGAGCUGUAUCAGGGUCCUACUUUGCCUUUGAAGAGUGAAAAGUAGAUUUCUUAUGAUACAAGUAUCCUGUAAUGAGUGGGUCAUGGGUGACAAUAAAGGCAUCAACUCAGUUGUCAAACUGCUCAAAGUUUUCAGCUUCAGAUCCGUGGGGACAGACAGUGGUAUGUAAGUACAUAAAAUCUCAACACAGGUAAGUUUUCACAGAUCACCACGUUAUUUUGCACAGCACCAGACUUAGGAAUACAGUUUUGGAUUGGGCUUCCCUGAAUAAGAUGCCCAGAAAUGGACAAACAAAAAUAAACAAACAAACAUAAAAACAGGCCAAAAAAGAAAAGGCCAACAACACAACGUAAGUGCUUUCUUGCCCAGCAGAAACUGGCAGGUUUGAAGUCCCUGUGACAGUAAAAUGCUGGAUUUUUUCACCAAACAGCUUAAUGCCAACCUGUUCUAAAGCAGGGUGGUUUCUCACAUUGCUGGUAAACACCUUAAAUGAAAUGGGCUGUAACACUAUACUUCUUUACGGCCUUUCUGGAAACACUCCAGAAUAUCUGACUUUAUCCCAUGAUUAUACGCUUGCUUUUGUACUGUGGUCUAACCACCUUACGUGGCUGAGAUUUAUAGACUGAGAUCAAACAUAGGUGUGCCUGGUAAGGUGUCAGCUCAGAAAGGAGGACACAGAGCCAUCUGUAGUGUGGAGCAACCUGAGCUGUUUUCUGCACGGACAAUACCAAUGCUAUGCCAAAUGUGCGCAUGAGGACAAGAAAAGAGCAGCUUAGGAUUUGGCUCUACUCCUGAUUUCUGACUGCUGAACUCACCCUGACAAAGCAGUUAACAGAAACAGGAUGUCAACAAACAUAUGAUGAAACCUCCAGUUCUCACGAUCUCUUCCUCCUGAGAAAUCUCAUUUAAGAAAACCUGCAAGGCUACUUUGCAAGAAAAAGAGCCUGAAGAAAAUAGUGGGAGCCACAAGAGGAGACAGAUAGUCAAGGAAGUACUUCUUUCUUUUGUCAUCAUACUGUAGUCACCCAGCUUAGCUGUUUGGCUCCUAAAAUCAAAGGACCCCAAAUCCUAGGAUUAUUCCAGCUGUAACAGACCUUAAGAGGUCAGUGAAUCCCAUCAUAUGUGGCCUCCUGUAUAUGUGUGCUGUACUCCAUACAGACAUUCUCUUGACCUAUGCAUGGCAUUCUCUGAGAAAAACAUCCUUGAUAUUAGGUGUCAUGUUAUGUGUAUAUUGCGGUUAUUUGUAUCUCUUCCAUCUGAGGUAUAAUCCUGAGGAUUUUCCUGCUCUGAUGAAGUGAGUACAACCUCAGUAUAUCCUCUACUCCUAAAUUAGAGUUUAAAAAACUGUUGAGUAAUUUGUAAACAAUAUAGUCAUGGGACUCUGUGAGAAGAGAGAGGAAUGGCAAUAAGGAUUCACAUCCGUGUUUUGCAUUUUCCCUAUUGUACACAUGGCAAGAGGAAGAAAGUUAUGCAUAGAUGACUUAGUGGCCUCUGAUGAGAAACUUAAAAAAAAUCCAAACACACGAACACAUAUGGUCUAUGACCAAUACUGUUGGCAUUCAUCUGAACUUAUUCAGUGAAGCUUGUUUGUGGGUCUGCAUAAUUUAUGACUAUAUUUCUGCGUAAUCUGUAUAUAAAUAAAUGAGUACAUCUCAUGGAUAGAGUAAACAUGUACUUCUUACCAUCUGGUAGAAGGCAUUAUGUGCCUAUGUAUGUGUCUGUAUGUUCUGUGAGCACAAGUUGCUAUGUAAAUGUCCUUUAUUACUUACUUCAUUCCCUCUGUUGCUAUAGAACUAAGGGUACUUUAAAGAUUUUUUGAAUUUACAAGUCAUGCCAUUUAAAAGUGAAUAAAAAGCCUGAAAAAAUAAUAUAGGAAAGUAUGCAGCACUGAUGAAAGAGUGACAGGUUGACUGUAUUCCUUAUAUUCAUUGAGAAGUUCCUGUUCCAGACUUCAAGAAAUAUUAAUAUGAUCAACUCCCAGAAGAGUCAAUGAGAGCUGAACUACA
Long non-coding RNA from Gallus gallus (chicken), 4901 nucleotides. RefSeq lists it as uncharacterized. The transcript is spliced from 3 exons. The record is from RefSeq and is a predicted model, not a curated record. Lineage: Eukaryota; Metazoa; Chordata; Aves; Galliformes; Phasianidae.